Molecule: ribosomal RNA, 498 nt
Filed under: Consorophylax consors
Lineage: Eukaryota; Metazoa; Arthropoda; Insecta; Trichoptera; Limnephilidae
Description: partial 16S ribosomal RNA
Source: RNAcentral
UUUAAAGUCUAAUCUGCCCCCUGAAAUUAUUUUAAAGGGCUGCGGUAUUUUAACCGUACAAAGGUAGCAUAAUAAUUAGGUUUUUAAUUGAAAUCUAGAAUGAAUGAUUGGACGAAAUAUAAGCUGUUUUAAAAUAAUUAAUUAAAACUUAAUUUUUUAGUUAAAAAGCUAAAAUUUUAUUAAAAGACGAGAAGACCCUAUAAAUCUUUAUAAUAAAUUUAUUUUUAUAGGUUAUUUUAUUUAAAUUAAUUAUUUUAAUAAGUAAAUUAUUUUAUUGGGGUGAUACAAAAAUUUAACUAACUUUUUUUGAUUUGUUAACUUAAAUUAAAGAUUUUAAAAUUAUGAUCUAUUAUUAAUAAUUCAAAGAAUAAGAUACUUUAGGGAUAACAGCGUAAUUUUAAUUUUAAGUUCUUAUUAAAAUUAAAGAUUGCGACCUCGAUGUUGGAUUAAAAUUUAAUUUAAAUGCAAAGGUUUAAAAAUUAAGUCUGUUCGACUUUU